This 253-nucleotide ribosomal RNA is filed under the name Priestia flexa. RNAcentral's name for it is "Bacillus flexus partial 16S ribosomal RNA". It matches the Rfam family "Bacterial small subunit ribosomal RNA", at positions 60 to 300 of the family's 1533-position model. Lineage: Bacteria; Bacillati; Bacillota; Bacilli; Caryophanales; Bacillaceae. The record is from RNAcentral.
CAGUCGAGCGAACUGAUUAGAAGCUUGCUUCUAUGACGUUAGCGGCGGACGGGUGAGUAACACGUGGGCAACCUGCCUGUAAGACUGGGAUAACUCCGGGAAACCGGAGCUAAUACCGGAUAACAUUUUCUCUUGCAUAAGAGAAAAUUGAAAGAUGGUUUCGGCUAUCACUUACAGAUGGGCCCGCGGUGCAUUAGCUAGUUGGUGAGGUAACGGCUCACCAAGGCAACGAUGCAUAGCCGACCUGAGAGGG